AAGACUAUACUUUCAGCAUGUCUCUGUAGUUGGUUCCUGGAGAAGUUUCUCUGAAGGUGCAGAGCCCCUGAAACCAUGAGGAGGAGGCGCAGCUUCUCUCCCGAGUAUGAAGCUGCCCUUGAUGAUGCUUCUGCAGCUGUCAUUUGCCAUUGACGAUCACUCUUCUCUUCCUUCGGGAGAGUGAGAUGGGAGAAUGCCGUCUGAG
Molecule: small nucleolar RNA, 205 nt
Organism: Manis javanica (Malayan pangolin)
Lineage: Eukaryota; Metazoa; Chordata; Mammalia; Pholidota; Manidae
Product: small nucleolar RNA U3
Source: RefSeq, a predicted model, not a curated record